Molecule: ribosomal RNA, 334 nt
Filed under: uncultured bacterium
Lineage: Bacteria
Description: bacterial SSU rRNA
Rfam family: Bacterial small subunit ribosomal RNA
Source: RNAcentral
UCAGGCCUAACACAUGCAAGUCGAGCGGUUGAGGUAGCUUGCUACCGAUGCAACGGCGGACGGGUGAGUAAUACAUGGGAAUCUGCCUGGUAGUGGGGGACAACGUUUCGAAAGGAACGCUAAUACCGCAUACGCCCUACGGGGGAAAGGGGGGGAUCUUCGGACCUCUCGCUAUCAGAUGAGCCCAAGUCGGAUUAGCUAGUUGGUGAGGUAAAGGCUCACCAAGGCGACGAUCCGUAACUGGUCUGAGAGGAAGAUCAGUCACACUGGUUUUGAGACACGGUCCAGACUCCUACGGGAGGCAGCAGUGGGGAAUAUUGGACAAUGGGCGCAA